RNAcentral lists this ribosomal RNA (286 nucleotides) under uncultured bacterium. Its description in RNAcentral is "partial 16S ribosomal RNA". It matches the Rfam family "Bacterial small subunit ribosomal RNA", at positions 796 to 1062 of the family's 1533-position model. The record is from RNAcentral.
CUGGCCCUAAACGAUGGGUACCAGACCGUGGGCCGCAUGGGCUCACAGUCGAGGCAAAAGUGUUAAGUACCCCGCCUGGGGAGUAUGGUCGCAAGGCUGAAACUCAAAGGAAUUGACGGGGGCUCACACAAGCGGUGGAGCAUGUGGCUUAAUUCGAGGCUACGCGCAGAACCUUAUCCUGGGCUUGACAUGCGCGAAAGCGGUAGGAAGUAUCCCGCGGAAACGUUGGGUCAACUGUAUCCAAUCUGGAACCUACCACAGGUGCUGCGUGGCUGUCCUCAGCUCG